UGAGGAGUCCAAUGUGCAACCCGUCAAUAGUCCGGUAACCGUGUGUGGUGAUAUCCAUGGCUAAUUUCAUGAUCUAAGGAAGCUUUUUCAGACAGGAGGUCAUGUACCAGAUACAAAUUACAUUUUUAUGGGAGAUUUUGUUGAUCGAGGUUAUAAUAGUCUUGAAGUUUUCACUAUUCUUUUGCUUCUUAA
Long non-coding RNA from Hibiscus syriacus, 192 nucleotides. RefSeq lists it as uncharacterized. The record is from RefSeq and is a predicted model, not a curated record. Lineage: Eukaryota; Viridiplantae; Streptophyta; Magnoliopsida; Malvales; Malvaceae. The transcript is spliced from 2 exons.